AAUAUUGGACAAUGGGCGAAAGCCUGAUCCAGCCAUGCCGCGUUUGUGAAUAAGGUCUUCGGUUUGAAAAGCACCUUAAGUCGGGAGGAAUGGCCGCAAGUUAAUCCCUGGCUGUUUUGUCGAUACCGCCAGAUUAAGCAUCGGCUAACUUCGUGCCAUCAGCUGAGGUAAUACGAAGGGUUCAAGCGUUAACCGGAAUUACUGGGCGUAAAGCGCGCGUAGGUGGUUUGUUAAGUUGGAAGUGAAAGCCCCGGGAUCAACCUGGGAACUGCUUUCAAAACUGGCAAGCUAGAGUAUGGCAGAGGGUGGUGGAAUUUCCUGUGUAGCGGUGAAAUGCGUAGAUAUAGGAAGGAACACCAGUGGCGAAGGCGACCACCUGGGCUAAUACUGACACUGAGGUGCGAAAGCGUGGGGAGCAAACAGG
This 424-nucleotide ribosomal RNA is filed under the name uncultured bacterium. RNAcentral describes it as "partial 16S ribosomal RNA". It matches the Rfam family "Bacterial small subunit ribosomal RNA", at positions 360 to 776 of the family's 1533-position model. The record is from RNAcentral.